Long non-coding RNA from Meriones unguiculatus (Mongolian gerbil), 1182 nucleotides. RefSeq lists it as uncharacterized. The record is from RefSeq and is a predicted model, not a curated record. NCBI's taxonomy places the organism in Eukaryota, Metazoa, Chordata, Mammalia, Rodentia, Muridae. The transcript has 4 exons.
ACUGGUGCCCUGGGCUCUGUUGUUCUCAUCCUCGUGGGAGCUGUGGCCUUCUGUUUCUGUCUGAAAAGGCAGGUCACAGGGAGGAGCAGCACCCAGGAAGCAUGCAGAGCCAGUCACCAGGACUCCGGUUGUUGGGGAUGCUGAGGAGAUGGUGACUCCGUUUUGAAGACUGAGCAGGACAAGGCUCCUCUAGGACACUCCUUUGCAGCUCCAGGAUUGACUGCUCAACCCCCAAAAUGUAUCUGUUUGUCCUCCACCGUUGGGCUGGUGUUGUCUCCCUGCGGCCCUCAGAUAUCUUUGUUUAGUCUCCUCGCUCGGGGACAUGGACACACCCACCCACACAGGCACGAACCCAUGCGCACACACACACAAAUUGUGGCAAGCCGUGGCUAUUAGGCUAUUAAUUUGCCGCGCCUAAAAGAUGGCGCCUGCCGGAUGUACUGACUGCUGAUAAACAAGUCCAUGUUUGGUCAAGGCGAGCGUGGCACUGGCCCAUUGGCUGCCUGCUGCAGGUCUGAUGAGUGAGCGUGGUUGGCUGUGAUUGGCUGAUGUGGUUGCCUAUAUAAUUGGGAAGUGCCCGGGGUAUGGGGGGGAGAAGAAGCUUGCAAAGGCCUGAAUAAACUGCUUGAGGAAGAGCUGGUGGUUGCGUCUUCCUUGCUGGUCGAGGCGGUCGCGACAACAAAUGAAUACACCCCUACCCCGGGUGGAAUCUCCUAGAACAUGCUUCUGCAGAAUGGAACCCUCCGUCUUGUGUCCCCUCAGAGGGCUACUCUUUGUUGUCAACUUGACCGGAUUUAGAAUCCCCUAGGAGACGGCCCUUUGGUGUCUGUGGGGUGCUUCCAGCCAGGUUUACCAAGAAGGGAAGGUUAAGACAGGUGGCUCCACUCCUCGGCUGGAGUCUCAGGAGAAAGCAGCCCUCGGGUCGCCGCCCUUUCCUGACCACGACACCAGCGGGCCAUCCCUCGCCACCACGCCCACAGAGACAGGUCCCCCCUUUCUGUCUCGAAGGUCUGACCGCCUGUCUCUUCCCUAAGUGGGUUCUCAUGAGGUGUUUUGUCACAGAGUCCAGGGACACAGCGUUAGAGACGAGGCACCAUCCUCCCUCCACAGAACUGAGUGCGACCCCUAAUCUUUGAGGGACACCAACCAAGCUUUGGUGAAGAAAAGAACUGUGGGCUCCUA